Molecule: unclassified non-coding RNA, 391 nt
Filed under: soil metagenome
Description: partial contains 5.8S ribosomal RNA, internal transcribed spacer 2, and large subunit ribosomal RNA
Rfam family: 5.8S ribosomal RNA (bases 1-122)
Source: RNAcentral
GAUGAAGAACGUAGCGAAAUGCGAUACUUGGUGUGAAUUGCAGAAUCCCGUGAACCAUCGAGUCUUUGAACGCAAGUUGCGCCCGAAGCCAUUAGGCCGAGGGCACGCCUGCCUGGGCGUCACACGUCGUUGCCCCCCCAUCUACUCCUUCGGGAUUGCGGGGGGCGGAUGAUGGCCUCUCGUGCGCCUCGUCGCGCGGUUGGCCUAAAAGCCAAGUCCUCGGCGACGCACGCCACGACAAUCGGUGGUUGCGAAACCUCGGUUGCCCGUCGUGUGCGGUCGUCGCGCAUCGAGGGCUCGAAAAAAUUGCCGGGCUCCGGCUCGGCUUUCAACGCGACCCCAGGUCAGGCGGGGUUACCCGCUGAAUUUAAGCAUAUCAAUAAGCGGAGGA